Cygnus olor (mute swan) is the source of this 3908-nucleotide long non-coding RNA. RefSeq lists it as uncharacterized. Lineage: Eukaryota; Metazoa; Chordata; Aves; Anseriformes; Anatidae. The transcript has 4 exons. The record is from RefSeq and is a predicted model, not a curated record.
GAUUGUAGCAGCUGAUAAAAAUGGAUGGAGAAGGGCUAGCAGUCAAGGAGAGUGUUAGCCAGCACAGAAUGUGGAGAGAUGUUCUCCCUGCAUAAUCUGCUCUCAGGAAGUGCUAGAUGCAGCAGAAAACUCCUUUUCAUACCUGUGGGGAGGGGGAAAGGUAUUAACUCUGCUCUCCUGCCUUAAGUGCAAGGUUAGAGAGAAUCAGUGCGGUUCUGUCAGGUCUUCUGGGCAGGCUUAUCAGCAAGAGCUGCAUGAAUGGAAUAUUACCCAAUUUGUCUGAUCGCUCCUAUCCAGACAUCCUUCAUGCUUUGCAAACAGCAAUGGUCAGAGGACCUCGGGAAGCAGGAGGGCCUGGAGCCCUCAGUGCUCCGUGGGGGAAAUGAGCCACCAGCAAGAUGAAAGAAUCACUUCCCUUCAAAAAGGGAAAUGGGAUGUCUGUGAGUGGUCCUGCAGGGAGAGGGGCAGGAGCUGGCUCCUCUGCAAGGCAUGGCUGGGCAACGUGCUGCAAACCUGGCCCUGGCUGUGUUAUCUGAGCAGGAUCCAGCACAUCCAGCCCUCGUUGGGAGCAAAGGGACACCCUUCUUCCCCUUGCCAGCCACGAACCCACACAGCCUGCUGCCUGCCCAAAGGAUACGGCGAUUUAGCAAGAAGCAGGAGCAAGCCUUGUCUCGUUCCCACGGCACGAAGCCACAGCACAGUGCGCACGUGUGAUGGGAGCCCGAGGGCACCAGCACGGCCAGCAGCCAAGCUGACCAGCGGACAGGGGACACGUCCAACCCACAGCUGUGCCAGACCGGUGCCAAGAGCAGUCACAGCUGCAGCAGCAAUGGCCGAGACACCCGGACCUUGCAUCCCAGCGCAGAGGGACUUUUAUCAUGGGCCAGAGGAAGCCAGGGCUGCGCAGCUCAUCAUUGCUUGGCUCGAAGCAUGGUGAAGGAGCAGCGAGUGCCAAGCACGGGAUGUGGAGAUGCAUCUUCUCAGACCAGGAUUGAGAGCAGCAAACUCUGUUCCCAUGGUUACUGAACAGCUACCCAUCAGGCCCCAUCUCACAUCACUAACUCUGCCACUUAAUUAACUGACUGCUCGUUAUUUCCCGAAAUGAACUCCUCCAUCCUCCUGCUUGCCUGAAAUUCAGCUCUCAGAUGCUCUCCACAGAGCAGCCCGUCUGGCUCUAGUGCCCUGUUUUAUUUAAACCUCAUCUGCCACUCAGCAAGGGUUGGAAAGGGCUGGAGACAAGCCCCGGGACUGCGGGAGGGCUCCAAGGGGAAGUUUUUCUUUGGGGACACCAGCCACUUCCAGCUAGGAUGAAGUAAAUAGGAUCGCAUCGGCACAGAGCUGUGUCUGAGCCCUUUUAUCGCUGAGCCCUCGGCGCCUGCCUUGCUGCAGACUUCUGCUAGCGAAAGGUCACUGGGCCCCAUCCUUCCAUUAUCUGCACAGGAAUGCGCAUUGAGGGGUCAUUCCGGAAUGAGCUGGAGGGAAGGGAAUAAUUAGCUGCGUUCAUAAAAUAUUACUCAGUAUUGGCUGAUAUUUCUGCUGCCCCCUCAAACAAACGGGCUCACACUGCACCCGGCUCAUGCGCAGCACCCUGAGCCCUCCCUCAUUGUCCCAGGCCUGGUGGGGGGAAAGUUUUCGGUUUUCUCCUCAGGGAAGGACUCCAGAGCUACCUGUGCUCUGUUUCCUAUGCCUUUGCUCUUCUGUACCCAACCUUUUCUCUAGCAGCCUCCCUCCUGGACGAGCAGCCCUUCCCGUGCGGCUGCUAGCAGCUCUCCCUGACCCUUAAUCUCCCUGCUGCUGCUGCCUCACAUUAGCAUCCCUCUCUCUGUGAGGCUGAACAAACCCACACAAAACAAGGGGCUUUAAAGAACUUGUCGAUUGAGUCAAACACUGGCACGCUCUGCCCGGCAGAUAGUUGCUUUGAGGAGCUGCUGCUUUCAGCUGCAGGCACUCACGGGGCUCAGCUGCAGGAGGUGACCAGGGUGGGACAAAGGGUUUAACUCUCAUAGUUAGCUACAGAGGAGGUCCUCUGAAGGAGAUUUGGAAGAAGCAGGGUGUUUCAGUGGGGAGUGACCCCUAAAGCCCCAGCUAAAGGACCUAUGGAAGCCAAGGGGCAGGUGCUGAAGCAGGGCGACCAGUCUGUGCUCUGGGUGUGGGGGUUGCCUCCCUCUGGGAUGGGAUGCUCCUGGCCUCUGAAGGCUGAUGGUGCACCAGGCGGCUUUUGGGGCCUUUGGUUUCGUGGGGUGAGGGAUCCUGGGGGAGAGCAGCGAGGAUGAGGACAGCAGCACUCUCAGCACCCUGUCUCCUUACCAGCUUGUCGGUGUAGGGAGAGGGCUCUCUGGCUGCCAUGUCGUAGUACGGCGGCUGCAGAGGGAGCUUCUGGAUUUCCUCCUCGUGCUUCAUGUUGUCCAGGUGAACAACCUGUAACAGGAGGGAGAAGAGGGGUGAGGGGAGUAAGGACAAUCCUGCCACAGCCUGGGACACCACAAGGUGCUGCUGUGAAGGGCAGUGCCUCUUACCUUCUCCCUGGCCAUACUAUUUGCCUCCUGUUCUCUUUAUUUCAUUCUCACAUUCCUCUUCUCAUCAUGACCACUCGUACCAUACAAAAAAAUGAGGAUGCUCAAAAGCCCUCACAGCUAAGAGCCCGUCUGAACACCAGCUCAUUCAGAAUUCAAUCCCUCCUGAAGGGAGUAAACAGGAUCCAAAUUACAGCUUUCAAUUAGUGCCAGUUUUUGAGGAUUGUGGGCAGACAAGUCCUUCCCUGCUGCCCCUCAAACUCAGGCCAUGGGCUCCUUUGCUCUUGCAGACCCCAUGCCCCAAAAUUUAGGCACUUUGGGCUCAAGUUUUCCUUGUUGGGGGAAGGGGCUUGCAGCGAGGCUGGGGAGCCGUACCUGGAUGUCUUCUGCAGUCAGGUGGCUUUUCAGCUCCUGUUUCCUCUUCGGCGGAGGGGCAGGCUUGUGGGACGGAGGCAAGUCAAUUCUGCAGGUAAAGAAGCAGCUGCUGGUUAGAGGGCAGGAGAAAGGGGUCUCAUAUGCUGGGACAGGCUGGUGUCUGCGUGCACUAAGGGUCUGACUGUGUUUGUCACCAAACUGCCGAUGCAAUCAUUGGUUCCUCUCCUGGGGCACCACAGAGCACCCAGCAGUGGUAACGGGUAAUUAGCAGGAGGCAAUAUCACACCCAUGGCAAGCUCAGGAGCUGCUCUGGAGCCCUAGCCCCUGCCCCAGGCUUUCCAUUAGGGGAUCGAACCUUUCUCCUCUGUGCCACGCAGAGGUUUUGUCCCUGACCCCCCGAUCAGGGGAUCAGCUUUUGUCCCAGGGCACAGGGCUUGGCAGCCGUUGUAAUCCCAGCCCAGAGCCUGUCUCUCUGCAUUCUGUUCGUGUGCGCAGAUGUGUCUAAUCCUGUUACAAAACUUAUUAAAACUCCAAUCCACUAAUUAGCCGGCUCCCCCUCUCCAAAAUUCACCAGAUCUGAUAGGGAUGGGCAGCUUUCCUGGGCAGCCUAACGGCUUGCAGCAUGGGACCCGAAUUUAUGGGUGAGAGAAAGUGCAAAAUGGGUCCCAGAGGCUCUGCAAAACAUGGGCUUUAUGGCUCUAAAGAAAAGAAAAGCUAUUAACUUUCUGAGGCUUUGGAGCAGACCCCACAAUAGAGGCAGCACCUCUGCAGUCCAGGGCACCGUUGUGUUUCUAUUCUCAGCUAAAGUGGCUGUUCCCUGUUCCUUCCUGGAGGGCCAUUGUGGGAAGUGGAUUGUCUGAAUGCGUCUCUGUCAUGGGGCUGAUGCUGUUGAUGCAAUUUCACCUUGUGGUGCUACUUUUUUUUUGUUUGUAUGCCUUUCUGUCUCUCCUUCCACUUUCCGCGGUUCCCUUCCCUCCCUCCCUCGCUAUCCUCCGAUGCCCUCUCUCAAAUGGGAUUAAA